Molecule: long non-coding RNA, 414 nt
Filed under: Salvia miltiorrhiza (redroot sage)
Lineage: Eukaryota; Viridiplantae; Streptophyta; Magnoliopsida; Lamiales; Lamiaceae
Description: long non-coding RNA (SMIL_LNC008684)
Source: RNAcentral
ACACGGGAGGCUCUCUCUCUCACUCAUUCUCUCCAUCAUCUCUCUCACUCACGCAUCUCCUCUCCUCUCUCUCUCUACCGAUCUAUCUCCACCGAUCUCCAUCGAGAAACGCCGCCGUCUAUCUCCAUCGAUCUCCAUCGACGUUGCCGUCUAUCUCCACUGCCUUCAUCUCCAUCGACGUCGCCGUCUAUCUCCACUGCCUUCAUCUCCAUCGACGUCGCCGUCUAUCUCCACUGCCUUCAUCUCCAUUGAUGUCGCCGCCUUCAUCUCCAUCGCCGCCGCCGUCUAUCUCCACCGCCGCCUUAAUCCUUAGGUUGCUGGUUCAAAUCCGGCAGUGGUUGUGGGUGGAUGUUGCAGAUCUAGGGUUCCAGACUUCCAGGCGUGGUAGAUCUAGGGUUCCAGGUGGCUUGGGGC